This 1456-nucleotide long non-coding RNA is filed under the name Ornithorhynchus anatinus (platypus). RNAcentral's name for it is "lncRNA (ENSOANG00000034475.2)". The record is from RNAcentral. Lineage: Eukaryota; Metazoa; Chordata; Mammalia; Monotremata; Ornithorhynchidae.
GUAUUUCCAACUUAAACGGAAUAACGGUUCAAGGAACAGAGUCUUCCAUCCGUAGAAUAUAGAGGGCUCCUCUAUUUCAGACAUUUAGGCACAAGCCCUUCCAUUCUGUCUUAUCCAGACAAUCAUGUACACAUAGGUGACCCCUUAAAAUGAAGCAGAGAGGCAGGACCAUGGAAGAUGACAAAUUCCAGUCGUCACUACUGAUGUCCAGAAAUGCAUGGUGGCCUAGCGGAGGGACCGUGAACUGGGAGUCAGGAGUUGUGGGUUUUAACCCUGGCUCCAACCUUCCCUGCUGUGGGACCCUGUGCGAGUCAAUGAUGAUAAUUGCGAUAUUUGUUAAGCACUUACUAUCGGGCCAGGCACUGUUCUAAGCGCUGGGGGUAGGUACAAAAUAAUUGAGUUGAACACAGUCCUUGUCCCUCAUAGGGAUCACAGCCUUAAUCUCCCUUUUACAGAUGAGGUAGCUGAGUGAUUCGUCCGAGGUCGCACGGCAGACAAGUGGCACAGUCGGGAUUAGAACCCUGGUCCUUCUGACUCUCAGGCCUGUGCUCUGUCCACUAGUGCAAAAUGGUGAUGGACUAUAUUUCUCCCCCCAUCCCUAGACAGCUCCAUAUAGGACAGGGACCCUCUCUGACCUGCUUGCAGUAUACCUAUUCCCAAUAUUUAACGGUCCUUGGCACCUAAUGAGCAUUUAACCAAUACCACAAGUAUUAUUUUAUCAUUGUUAUCAUCCUGGGCCUCACCACAGCUUCAGCCUGGCCUCCGACUUUUAGCUCCCCUUGGCCAGGCUGGUUAUCUGUCCCGGUCUCUGUCCUUUAGAGCUUCCGGUGAAGUGCAGACCCCAGGGAAACGGCGGCUUUGUAUUCCGAUCUCUUAGGCUGUUCCCCGGGAAUAUUCUCCUUUCCCUGGCAGCCGUCAAAAAAGAGGAGCGGCGGUAACAAGAGUAGGUCAAAAUGCGAACACUCGUGGCUAUAUCUGGAUGCCUCCUCUAAUUCCGCCUCGUACACCGGAGCAGUCCAAGGGGGUGUUUACUCGAAUCCUGCUUCUUGGCAGUCAUUUUCAUCUGGCCUCAUCCUCGCCGUGCCACUGAGUUUCUUCUGGCAGUACCAGUUAAGGGUAUUGGAAACAGCCCUUGAAAAUAAAGAUCGGAAAUCCACUCAGGAGAGAAGUAACAGGCUCUUCAUUCUAAUGGGUCUCCGAUGUGAUUGGCAGGUGUUGUGGACCACCUUUAGGGCAGACACUGCAAAUGUGCAUUUCGGCUUAAGCCGUCAGUGAAGAAGGUGGUGUCUGCUGUGGCAAGAUGCGAGCUGGCUGGAAAUACUGAUGGGAAGAGGAGUGAGGCAUGGGGUAAGUGCAUAGUCAGAUGACACUUUUGCGUUGUCACAUGCGCGUAAGCACUCUGGAGUGACGCUGCCUGAUGCCCCGGUCACCUCCGGGCACCAGGAGCCACUCCAGG